This 439-nucleotide ribosomal RNA is filed under the name uncultured bacterium. Its description in RNAcentral is "partial 16S ribosomal RNA". It matches the Rfam family "Bacterial small subunit ribosomal RNA", at positions 338 to 795 of the family's 1533-position model. The record is from RNAcentral.
CCUAGGGAGGCAGCAGUGGGGAAUAUUGCACAAUGGGAGGCACCCUGAUGCAGCGACGCCGCGUGGGUGAAGGAGCACCUAGGUGCGUAAAGCCCUAUCGGCAAGGAAGAAACAGACGGUACCUGACUAAGAAGCCCCGGAUAACUACGUGCAAGCAGCCGCGGUCAUACGUAGGGGGCAAGCGUUAUCCGGAUUAACUGGGUGGAAAGCGAGCGUUGACGGCGACUCAAGUCUGGAGUGAAAGCCCGGGACCCAACGCCGGGACUGCUCUUGAAACUGCUGCGCUAGAGUACGGGAGGGGCAGGCGGAAUUCCUGGUGUAGCGGUGAAAUGCGUAGAUAUCAGGAGGAACACCGGCGGCGAAGGCGGCCUGCUGGACCGUGACUGACGUUGAGGCUCGAGAGCGUGGGGAGCAAACAGGAUUAGAUACCCGAGUAGUC